UAAUUGUCCACACAUCUCCCUGUUUUGAAUUGAUCUAGAGAAGGACACUAUUUACAGUUUGAAAUUGCUAUAUUAUAUCUUCAUGGUAACGUCUGAAGACUCGGUCUAAUUUCUAGGAAGUGAGACAGACUUAUAAAGGUAACCUAGAGGGGUGCAGUGACUUAUGCUGUUUCUGGUGUGAAUUGCUGACUGGUGGUUGAUGAUAAGCUAGUGCCCCCAUAUUCAUAAUGCAGCCUGGCAACUGGGACAGUAGAGCCCUCUGUGAAAUCAGCCAGCUGGCCUCAGAUCAGAAUUUGGACUCCCAAACAAGACUCCAGCUUGAGGGAGGUUGAUGUCAUCUGCUUUAUCCUGUGCCCCCAACCUCAUUGUUCAAUAUAAUGUGUGGGAAGUCAAGGGACUAGUUGUUAAGAAAGAACAAGGCUUUGUUUGUGCCUAAAAGGGUCAUGCUGGAGGUUUUUACCGUAAAUAACUUUGGAACAGUAUGAAAAAAAACAUUUGAUCUGGCUUCACCCCCACAGUAGUGUUGUUACGGCAGCAACUGGUUUUUCCUUCUCGUUCCUUCCCUUCCCCCUCCUCUUUCUUUCCAUUUCUUCCCUGCUAGCCUCCCUGCUUCUCAGUCAAGCAUGACGUAUUGCCUGUGUUAAGUUAAUGUAGCAAAUGCUGAUGGAAGCAGGAAGAGAGCAUCUAUCCAUUAUCUCACCAGUGCCUGGAAAUUUUCCAUUUCUGGUUCUCCACACUUGUACAAAAAGCUUCCCAGCCUCUUUGAUCAUAUUUUAGCUUAAGCAAUACUUCUGUGCUGUGCUAUGUCAUUACUGAAUUGUGUUAGAAAUCUGAAAGAACUUGAUGUUUCUAAACUCU
This 858-nucleotide long non-coding RNA is filed under the name Marmota monax (woodchuck). The record is from RNAcentral. Lineage: Eukaryota; Metazoa; Chordata; Mammalia; Rodentia; Sciuridae.